RNAcentral lists this long non-coding RNA (288 nucleotides) under Numida meleagris (helmeted guineafowl). Its description in RNAcentral is "lncRNA (ENSNMEG00000013007.1)". Lineage: Eukaryota; Metazoa; Chordata; Aves; Galliformes; Numididae. The record is from RNAcentral.
CUAGCAUUGAGACUGUUGAAGUGACCGUUGGUUUCAUUAGCAGCAAGUGGAUGCUCCAGAGGACUACAGUACAAACCUGAGCGUGAAUAACAGUGAACACAAACUGAUCUUCAUUCCCAGGAAUAAAAGAGAAAGAGUUGGGAGGUAUAUACCAGGCCAGACCGGAAGGAGACUAACAACAAAGUGUGAGUAGAAAUCUAUUCAAUUUUUUGUUUGAUUUUGCUUUAUAAUCCAUCUGUGAUAAGGACAUGCAAUACGUAUUUGAAAAUGGAUGUUUAAAAUACAUAA